RNAcentral lists this ribosomal RNA (305 nucleotides) under uncultured bacterium. RNAcentral describes it as "bacterial SSU rRNA". It matches the Rfam family "Bacterial small subunit ribosomal RNA", at positions 28 to 334 of the family's 1533-position model. The record is from RNAcentral.
GAUGAACGCUGGCGGCGUGCCUAAUACAUGCAAGUCGGACGGAGCGCUUCGGCGCUCAGUGGCGAACGGGUGAGUAGCACAUGGGCAACCUGCCCUUCAGACGGGGACAACAUUCCGAAAGGGAUGCUAAUACCGGAUACGAAGCUUCUGCCGCAUGACGGAAGCUUGAAAGGUGCCCUCAAGCACCGCUGAAGGAUGGGCCUGCGUCCGAUUAGCUGGUUGGUGGGGUAACGGCUCACCAAGGCGACGAUCGGUAGCCGGUCUGAGAGGAUGAACGGCCACAUUGGGACUGAGACACGGCCCAG